ACUAUAACCUACAGUUUGAAGAAUGCAAAUCCAACGGUAGUCCUUGAUGAGAUCAGCUAUCAACAGUCUAAUCUGAGCUUGAAAUGGAGGGAAAGGAGAGUGGUGAGAUUUUAUAAUCCCAGUGAGUAAACAAACAUCAUUCAAAAGAUCUAAAGUCCGAGUAAAAGGAGACAAUUAAAAUAUUUCAUCUCAAUAUGUAUUUCAUAACAUAAAUAUUCAUUUCAUUUAAAUAUUCAACAUGGCUUAUGAGUAUUUUAAAAACUUGGCUCUUGCUAAAAUCAUUCUUGGGGAUACCUUGGCCGCGGCAUCUAACCGAGUCCGCCAAGGCUGUUAUACACGUAAAUAUAUUUUUAGUUUAAAAAGAACACAGCCGUUCCUUGACGUUAUCGGAGUUCAUUGUCACGAGGUGGUUCGGCGUGACGUAAACUCUAACCAUACCUCAGGAGAUACCCUACGUGCCUCUCCAACCGAGGUACAUAUAUAUAUCCAGAUUCUGUGCCCUUCUAAUAGGUUGGUCCACAGAACCUGCCCACUGCAGCAAGCUAAACCCACAAUACAAUAAAAUUUUAACAGCAUGGCAGGGCUAAUAUAAUACUACCCAGCCUACAAGGGUAAAAUAAAAUAAUUCAUACAAUUCAUAAAACACAGCCCAACCCGUCAUGCCAACACAAUAACACUAUAACAUAAGCCAUCAAUUUCUAAUCAAAAAUUUGCAACAUACCAGUGGUCUCCAAUUACUCUAUUUUCCAAAUCGUUAUUUUGUUUCAAGACAAUUUAUAAAGUCUUUUCAUUUAAACACAUUAUGUUUACAAAACAUAAAAAUUUACCAUUUUAACUCAUUUUCAUAAAAUUCACCAAAACUAAAUAAAGACAUACUUUAGACAAUUAAAAUGAUGGUAAGGUUACUCACAAUGUCUAGAGUGGGGAUUUUCGAAAUACUCAGACUACUGGUCCUCAGAUACAAUUCCCUUGCCUUUAUCGGAGGACUCACCACCUUGACACAGUACAAAAUCGAAAAAUUCACCACAUUGGUACUAAAUUGAAAUUAAACUAAUUUAUACUACUAAUGCAUGAUAUGGAAUGCAAAAGGUCUAAAUUUUGCCUAAACACCGUAUUGACCUAUUUCGGUCUUUUACUCGAUAAAUUGAAAUACGCAUCUAAUUUAGCUCCAAUUGAUCCCAUUUCUUUUUCUAAUGCUUCAAAUCGUCAAUGUCCAGCCAAAUAACCCAAAAAUCAGCAAAGCCACAUUCAUAUUCCUUCUUGGAAAAAUUUGGCCAAAAUGGUGCAUCACUGUCAUAAUUUUUCCUUACUUGNAAAACCAUGAUUUCAUAAUCAAAUAACCUAAAAUAACAUCACAUUCUUCCUCACCAUUGACUUGAAAAUUCAGCUAAGGCUAGGUAAUGGGAAAAAUGAAUGUUUUUCUACAUAUUUUGUUUACUAACAUGCUAAACUAACACUAAACACUAACAUAUAUCAAAAUCAAAUCAAUCCAACAAUUUUCUCUCUCUACACCCAUAUAACCAGCCAUUAAAUCACCAUAAAAACAUGCAAUUUAGUCAUGGAAAAUAAGGAGAAAUGCUUGGGAAUAAGAAAACUCAAGCUUAAUAGAAAAAAUCUUACCUUUUUCACUUAAUUUUCUUGAAAAUUCACACUUUUUCUUUGAUUUUCUCUCUCUAGGGUUUGGUUUUUAUUUUCUCUCUCUUCUUGCUGGUUUAGCCGACCAUGUGGUGGAAGA
RNAcentral lists this long non-coding RNA (1735 nucleotides) under Theobroma cacao (cacao). RNAcentral's name for it is "long non-coding RNA (TCAC_LNC000210)". Lineage: Eukaryota; Viridiplantae; Streptophyta; Magnoliopsida; Malvales; Malvaceae. The record is from RNAcentral.